CACGUAGGCACCAAGCGUUGUCCGGAUUUAUUGGGCGUAAAGAGCUCGUAGGCGGUUCGAUAAGUCGGGUGUGAAAACUUUGGGCUCAACCCAAAGCGUGCAUUCGAUACUGUUGUGACUAGAGUUCGGUAGGGGAGUGGGGAAUUCCUAGCGUAGCGGUGAAAUGCGCAGAUAUUAGGAGGAACACCGGUGGCGAAGGCGCCACUCUGGGCCGAAACUGACGCUGAGGAGCGAAAGCGUGGGUAGCAAACAGG
Molecule: ribosomal RNA, 254 nt
Filed under: uncultured bacterium
Lineage: Bacteria
Description: partial 16S ribosomal RNA
Rfam family: Bacterial small subunit ribosomal RNA
Source: RNAcentral